RNAcentral lists this signal recognition particle RNA (148 nucleotides) under Gorilla gorilla gorilla (western lowland gorilla). RNAcentral's name for it is "Metazoan signal recognition particle RNA". It matches the Rfam family "Metazoan signal recognition particle RNA". From Rfam's summary of the family: The signal recognition particle (SRP) is a universally conserved ribonucleoprotein. It is involved in the co-translational targeting of proteins to membranes. Lineage: Eukaryota; Metazoa; Chordata; Mammalia; Primates; Hominidae. The record is from Rfam by way of RNAcentral.
GCCGGGCGUGGUGGUCCAUGCCUGUAAUCCCAGCUACUUGGGAGGCUGAGGCAGGAGGAUUGCUUGAACCCAGGAGACAGAGGUUAUAGUGAGCCGAGAUCGUGCCACUGCACUCCAGCCUGGGCAACAGAGCGAGAUUCUGUCUCAA